Molecule: ribosomal RNA, 711 nt
Filed under: Triticum aestivum (bread wheat)
Lineage: Eukaryota; Viridiplantae; Streptophyta; Magnoliopsida; Poales; Poaceae
Description: partial small subunit ribosomal RNA
Source: RNAcentral
AUGAGUAAAGCAGAGCCAUCAUCAUCAGCCCAUCGGAGAGACCGACGACGCAUAGCUCACAUGGCCAUGGCCGCUCCAACUCCAAGCGCAUCCUGCUGCCUCGUAGGCCCCGUCCCGUUCAACGACGUUGUCGGGGCCGAAGACGACGACCGCAUCACCCCGCCCGAAGGGUACGGGCACAUCAUCUCCACCUUGCCGACCAUCGGCAUUCUAGGCCGCUUUGUGCACCACCAAUACCAGGGCGCUUGGCUGCUCCACGAGAGGAUCCCUGGGGUCCUCUCUUUCCAGCGGCGCUUCUCUCCGCGCCCCGGCGACGUGCUCCUCACAAGCCCGCCCAAGUGCGGCACCACGUGGCUGAAGGCCAUGGCCUUCGCCACCAUGGGGCGGGCCGCGUACCCGCCCACCGCCGCCGACCACCCGCUCCGCCGCCUGAACCCACACGAGUGCGUCCCCUUCAUCGACGAUCUGUUCAGCGCAGGACACGAUGCCAAGCUGGAGGCGCUGCCGUCGCCUAGACUCCUGAGCACGCACAUGCAACACUCCCUGCUGCCCGCCUCCCUUGCUGAAAACCCCAACGCAAAGAUCGUCUACAUCUGCAGGAAAGGGGUGACCGGAGACUGGGUGAAUCAUAUGACACCAGAGAUGGCGCAACGCUUAGAUGCCAUUGUGGAGGACAAGCUCUAUGGAUCAGGUCUGUCUUUCAGUUCUUGA